RNAcentral lists this long non-coding RNA (1438 nucleotides) under Heterocephalus glaber (naked mole-rat). RNAcentral's name for it is "lncRNA (ENSHGLG00000044209.1)". The record is from RNAcentral. Lineage: Eukaryota; Metazoa; Chordata; Mammalia; Rodentia; Bathyergidae.
AAAAAGCCUGGAAGGGGAUGGUUUGGUUGUGGUUUAGUGCAGCGGCUUCCGGACAGUUUGCAGGGGUGGGGUCCACAUUCUGCUGUUGUAGGAUUUCUCACUCGGUGUGUUCUCCUGAAGCAGGCCCCAGCAGUAGCUACGUGACAUUUAUCUCGUCUCCAUAACCUGUUUGUAGGUGCUGUCAUCAUCGUCAUCAUCAUCAUCAUCGUCAUCAUUCUCAUUUACAGUUUUAUGCUAAUUAAGUAGAGUCAUCCAGAGACUUGAAAUACCAGCUAAGGCCCCACCAAGACAAAGGAGGUGAGCCACUUCCAGUGCACAAGAAGAGGCUUCUGGGCCACCGUACCACCCCUACCAGCACACAGGAGGUGAGCCAUACAGGCACCAGCACCACCACCACCCCCCCAUCCCAUCGAAAUGAGAAGACACGUAAACAAGUCUCAAAACCAGACUUCCAGAUCACCUACAGCUACACCAAAGGGAAACGACAUGGAACACUCUGACAUGCAACCAUCUGGACUCCCUGAACUGGCAACAAAAGAGGAUCUGGAAAAAAAUGAAAUCAGAAAUAAUUUCUCAGAUAACAGCAGAGAUUGUGCUCAUAGUGCAAGACGUGAUUAAUAAAUCUAGAGAGGUGCUCAGGAACACGAUGGAAUCCCAACACAGGAGACAAAUGGAAUCCAUAAAACAGAUGCAAACAGAUUUCCAAGAGAUUAAAAACUCCAUUUAAAGUCUACACAGCAGAAUGAGCCAAUGUGAGGACAGAAUUUCAGAUAUAGAAGAUAAGACUGCAGUUAGUGACCCAGAAAAGAAAAAUUGCUUUAAAAUUGUAAGGGACCAUGAGAAAUCAAUCCAUCAGCUGCUAGACGAUGCAAAGAAGAAUAACAUAAGACUGACUGAAGUCAAUGAAGAAACAGGAGAGAGUGCAGAUGACAUAAAAAAAAACUAUUCACAGAAGUGAUGGCAGAAAACUUCCCAAGCAGGGGAAAAGAACUUGACAGACAGAUAAGUAAGGUAUAUAGGACUCCAACUAGGCUUGAUAAAAAAAACCACACAAAGGCAUAUAAUUAUUAAGAUUCCAGAAACCCAACAGAAGAACAAAGUUCUACAAGCAGUUAGAGAAAAGAAACAAAUCACGUACAAAGGAAAGCCCAUCAGAAUCACAGGAGACUUCUCAAUGAAAACCCUCAAGGCAAGAAGGGCUUGGAGUGAUUCAUUUCAAGCUCUAAAGGAAAACAGCCUCCAACCGAGAUUGAUGUACCCUGGAAAAUUAUCUUUCAAAAUUGAUGGAGAAAAAAAUUGAUGGAGAAAUAAGAUAUUUUCAUGAUAAAGAGCAACUUCAUGAAUACCAAACCAGCACUCCAAAAAAUUUUAGACAGUAUCUUAGGAAACAACAAUGAGGAUCACAACCCCAGGAAGCCCAGCAGAAUGAAUCCAUCAG